RNAcentral lists this ribosomal RNA (481 nucleotides) under uncultured bacterium. RNAcentral describes it as "bacterial SSU rRNA". It matches the Rfam family "Bacterial small subunit ribosomal RNA", at positions 29 to 523 of the family's 1533-position model. The record is from RNAcentral.
AACGAACGCUGGCGGCAGGCUUAACACAUGCAAGUCGAACGAACAUGAGCCUUAGCAAUAAGGAGUUCUGUUAGUGGCGCACGGGUGAGUAACACGUGGGAACAUGCCUUUGAGUACGGAAUAACAGCGGGAAACUGCUGCUAAUGCCGUAUAUUCCCUGAGGGGGAAAGAUUUAUCGCUCAAAGAUUGGCCCGCGUCUGAUUAGCUAGUUGGUGGGGUAAUGGCCUACCAAGGCGACGAUCAGUAGCUGGUCUGAGAGGACGAUCAGCCACACUGGGACUGAGACACGGCCCAGACUCCUACGGGAGGCAGCAGUAAGGAAUAUUGCGCAAUGGGCGAAAGCCUGACGCAGCGACGCCGCGUGGGGGAUGAAGGUCUUCGGAUUGUAAACCCCUUUCGGGAGGGAAGAUGGAGCGAGCAAUCGUUCGGACGGUACCUCCAGAAGCAGCCACGGCCAACUUCGUGCCAGCAGCCGCGGUAA